This 2092-nucleotide ribosomal RNA is filed under the name human gut metagenome. Its description in RNAcentral is "bacterial LSU rRNA". It matches the Rfam family "Bacterial large subunit ribosomal RNA", at positions 1 to 2004 of the family's 2925-position model. The record is from RNAcentral.
UUAAGCGACUAAGCGUACACGGUGGAUGCCCUGGCAGUCAGAGGCGAUGAAGGACGUGCUAAUCUGCGAAAAGCGUCGGUAAGGUGAUAUGAACCGUUACAGCCGGCGAUGUCCGAAUGGGGAAACCCAGUGCAAUUCGUUGCACUAUCGUUAACUGAAUACAUAGGUUAACGAGGCGAACCGGGGGAACUGAAACAUCUAAGUACCCCGAGGAAAAGAAAUCAACCGAGAUUCCCCCAGUAGCGGCGAGCGAACGGGGAGCAGCCCGGAGUCUGAAUCAGCUUGUGUGUUAGUGGAAGCGUCUGGAAAGUCGCAGGGUACAGGGUGAUACUCCCGUACACUAAAACACACAGGCUGUGAACUCGAAGAGUAGGGCGGGACACGUGGUAUCCUGUCUGAAUAUGGGGGGACCAUCCUCCAAGGCUAAAUACUCCUGACUGACCGAUAGUGAACCAGUACCGUGAGGGAAAGGCGAAAAGAACCCCGGCGAGGGGAGUGAAAAAGAACCUGAAACCGUGUACGUACAAGCAGUAGGAGCCCCACCACCAAAGCGUUUCGCUUUGCGUGGUGCGCAAAAUGCGUAACGACAGCAUGAUGGACGGUUAACGGAGCGUCAGCGACGUUCAACGUCAAAAAUCAGGCAGUGGAGCGUUUUGGGGUGGGGUGACUGCGUACCUUUUGUAUAAUGGGUCAGCGACUUAUAUUCUGUAGCAAGGUUAACCGUAUAGGGGAGCCGCAGGGAAACCGAGUCUUAACUGGGCGUUAAGUUGCAGGGUAUAGACCCGAAACCCGGUGAUCUAGCCAUGGGCAGGUUGAAGGUUGGGUAACACUAACUGGAGGACCGAACCGACUAAUGUUGAAAAAUUAGCGGAUGACUUGUGGCUGGGGGUGAAAGGCCAAUCAAACCGGGAGAUAGCUGGUUCUCCCCGAAAGCUAUUUAGGUAGCGCCUCGUGAAUUCAUCUUCGGGGGUAGAGCACUGUUUCGGCUAGGGGGUCAUCCCGACUUACCAACCCGAUGCAAACUACGAAUACCGAAGAAUGUUAUCACGGGAGACACACGGCGGGUGCUAACGUCCGUCGUGAAGAGGGAAACAACCCAGACCGCCAGCUAAGGUCCCAAAGUCAUGGUUAAGUGGGAAACGAUGUGGGAAGGCCCAGACAGCCAGGAUGUUGGCUUAGAAGCAGCCAUCAUUUAAAGAAAGCGUAAUAGCUCACUGGUCGAGUCGGCCUGCGCGGAAGAUGUAACGGGGCUAAACCAUGCACCGAAGCUGCGGCAGCGACACUAUGUGUUGUUGGGUAGGGGAGCGUUCUGUAAGCCGUUGAAGGUGGCCUGUGAGGGUUGCUGGAGGUAUCAGAAGUGCGAAUGCUGACAUAAGUAACGAUAAUGCGGGUGAAAAACCCGCACGCCGGAAGACCAAGGGUUCCUGUCCAACGUUAAUCGGGGCAGGGUGAGUCGACCCCUAAGGCGAGGCCGAAAGGCGUAGUCGAUGGGAAACAGGUUAAUAUUCCUGUACUUGGUGUUACUGCGAAGGGGGGACGGAGAAGGCUAUGUUGGCCGGGCGACGGUUGUCCCGGUUUAAGCAUGUAGGCGGAUGUUCCAGGUAAAUCCGGAGCGUCACUAACGCUGAGGUGUGAUGACGAGGCACUACGGUGCUGAAGUGACAAAUGCCCUGCUUCCAGGAAAAGCCUCUAAGCAUCAGGUAACAUCAAAUCGUACCCCAAACCGACACAGGUGGUCAGGUAGAGAAUACCAAGGCGCUUGAGAGAACUCGGGUGAAGGAACUAGGCAAAAUGGUGCCGUAACUUCGGGAGAAGGCACGCUGAUGGUAGGUGAAGUGACUUGCUCAUGGAGCUGAAAUCAGUCGAAGAUACCAGCUGGCUGCAACUGUUUAUUAAAAACACAGCACUGUGCAAACACGAAAGUGGACGUAUACGGUGUGACGCCUGCCCGGUGCCGGAAGGUUAAUUGAUGGGGUUAUCCUCGCGGAGAAGCUCUUGAUCGAAGCCCCGGUAAACGGCGGCCGUAACUAUAACGGUCCUAAGGUAGCGAAAUUCCUUGUCGGGUAAGUUCCGACCUGCACGAAUGGCGUAA